This 104-nucleotide small nuclear RNA is filed under the name Dasypus novemcinctus (nine-banded armadillo). The record is from RNAcentral. Lineage: Eukaryota; Metazoa; Chordata; Mammalia; Cingulata; Dasypodidae.
GUGCUCGCUUCAGCAGCACAUACACUAAAAUUGGAACGAUACAGAGAUUAGCAUGGCCCCUGCACAAGGAUGACACGCAAAUUCAUGAAGCGUUCCAUAAUCUA